RNAcentral lists this ribosomal RNA (433 nucleotides) under uncultured bacterium. RNAcentral describes it as "partial 16S ribosomal RNA". It matches the Rfam family "Bacterial small subunit ribosomal RNA", at positions 29 to 507 of the family's 1533-position model. The record is from RNAcentral.
AACGAACGCUGGCGGCAUGCCUAACACAUGCAAGUCGAACGAGACCUUCGGGUCUAGUGGCGCACGGGUGCGUAACGCGUGGGAACCUGCCCUUAGGUUCGGAAUAACUCCCCGAAAGGGGUGCUAAUACCGGAUAAUGUCUUCGGACCAAAGAUUUAUCGCCUUUGGAUGGGCCCGCGUUGGAUUAGCUAGUUGGUAGGGUAAAAGCCUGCCAAGGCGACGAUCCAUAGCUGGUCUGAGAGGAUGAUCAGCCACACUGGGACUGAGACACGGCCCAGACUCCUACGGGAGGCAGCAGUGGGGAAUAUUGGACAAUGGGCGAAAGCCUGAUCCAGCAAUGCCGCGUGAGUGAUGAAGGCCUUAGGGUUGUAAAGCUCUUUUACCCGGGAUGAUAAUGACAGUACCGGGAGAAUAAGCGCCGGCUAACUCCGUG